CCAACGGCCCUCUUUAGGGCCACAAAAUAACGGAAAUCCAUCUUGU
RNAcentral lists this non-coding RNA (46 nucleotides) under Caenorhabditis briggsae. Its description in RNAcentral is "sRNA CBG29724". It matches the Rfam family "Histone 3' UTR stem-loop". From Rfam's summary of the family: The mRNAs of metazoan histone genes lack a poly-A tail. 3' end processing occurs at a site between a highly conserved stem-loop (modelled by this family) and a purine rich region around 20 nts downstream (the histone downstream element, or HDE). Lineage: Eukaryota; Metazoa; Nematoda; Chromadorea; Rhabditida; Rhabditidae. The record is from RNAcentral.